CAGGUGCUAGAGCCUGGGAUCCACUGGGAGGGUGACCUGGUGAGAGAUUUUACAGCUGUAGAAAAUGUCCUCUACCUUGAGAGAGGCGUGUGACACGGGAGUGAUCUGGCAGAGCGCUUCCCCGCGGGGUCACUGGGGGUCAGAGUGUGAGGAUUUCCACUUGGAAGGUUGUUUAAGGAGAAUGGACAGUUACACAUCCUGCUUGGGAGACAAUCACUGAACCAGCGGGGAACACAGUGCAUGAUGGGCUGCCCUACCCACUUUAUGGAAGAGGAAACCGAGGCUCAGAAAAUCAAGCUUGCAGACUUCCUCUGGAACUUCCUCUGGACAUCUGGAGGGACGUCUUGUCAGCAGAGCAGGCUGGACUGCUUCACAAAGAGGAUGCAGCCCUGCCUCCCAGCAGGAGUCAGUUCUGCUCUGAGACGUGAGGCUCACAAUCAAAUGAAGACUCCUACUGCUGCAUCUUGAAGAUAAUGAUGCUGUCACUCCGGGCCAGAACCACAGGAGUGGCAAUGAGUGAACAGCCAGCAGAGUGGAGCAGCCACACUGAUACAGGUGAGGCUGCAGCACUGCUGCAGCCAAGGGCUGGGCAAAACUGCCCUCCUGUGCCCCAGGAGCCAAGGCCUCUGAGAUUGGUGCUGGGACGUCACACAGUGCAGGCAAAUCACGUAGACCUCAGAGCAGGAUCCCUGGCCAUGAGAACUCAAAAGACAUAGUCUUUAAAAUGAAGACAGAAAACUGUAUUUAUUGCCACAAUAAAGCUGUGUAACAAACUACCC
Molecule: long non-coding RNA, 779 nt
Organism: Macaca mulatta (Rhesus monkey)
Lineage: Eukaryota; Metazoa; Chordata; Mammalia; Primates; Cercopithecidae
Source: RefSeq, a predicted model, not a curated record